RNAcentral lists this ribosomal RNA (253 nucleotides) under uncultured bacterium. RNAcentral's name for it is "partial 16S ribosomal RNA". It matches the Rfam family "Bacterial small subunit ribosomal RNA", at positions 524 to 776 of the family's 1533-position model. The record is from RNAcentral.
UACGUAGGGCGCAAGCGUUAUCCGGAAUUAUUGGGCGUAAAGAGCUCGUAGGCGGUUUGUCGCGUCUGCCGUGAAAGUCCGGGGCUCAACUCCGGAUCUGCGGUGGGUACGGGCAGACUAGAGUGAUGUAGGGGAGACUGGAAUUCCUGGUGUAGCGGUGAAAUGCGCAGAUAUCAGGAGGAACACCGAUGGCGAAGGCAGGUCUCUGGGCAUUAACUGACGCUGAGGAGCGAAAGUGUGGAGAGCGAACAGG